Puccinia sorghi is the source of this 72-nucleotide transfer RNA. It matches the Rfam family "tRNA". Rfam says of the family: Transfer RNA (tRNA) molecules are approximately 80 nucleotides in length. Their secondary structure includes four short double-helical elements and three loops (D, anti-codon, and T loops). The record is from Rfam. NCBI's taxonomy places the organism in Eukaryota, Fungi, Basidiomycota, Pucciniomycetes, Pucciniales, Pucciniaceae.
GCGUACUUAGCUCAAUGGUUAGAGCAUCACUCAUGAAUGAUGAGAUUGUGGGUUUGAGUCCCACAGUGCACA